UGGGGAAUUUUGGACAAUGGGCGAAAGCCUGAUCCAGCAAUGCCACGUGUGUGAAGAAGGCCUUCGGGUUGUAAAGCACUUUUGUCCGGAAAGAAAUCCUUGGCUCUAAUACAGUCGGGGGAUGACGGUACCGGAAGAAUAAGCACCGGCUAACUACGUGCCAGCAGCCGCGGUAAUACGUAGGGUGCAAGCGUUAAUCGGAAUUACUGGGCGUAAAGCGUGCGCAGGCGGUUUGCUAAGACCGAUGUGAAAUCCCCGGGCUCAACCUGGGAACUGCAUUGGUGACUGGCAGGCUAGAGUAUGGCAGAGGGGGGUAGAAUUCCACGUGUAGCAGUGAAAUGCGUAGAGAUGUGGAGGAAUACCGAUGGCGAAGGCAGCCCCCUGGGCCAAUACUGACGCUCAUGCACGAAAAGCGUGGGGAGCAAAACAGGAUUAGAUACCCUGGUAGUCCACGCCCUAAACGAUGUCAACUAGUUGUUGGGGAUUCAUUUCCUUAGUAACGUAGCUAACGCGUGAAGUUGACCGCCUGGGGAGUACGGUCGCAAGAUUAAAACUUAAAUGAAUUGACGGGGUCAUAGCUGUUUCCU
Molecule: ribosomal RNA, 587 nt
Filed under: uncultured bacterium
Lineage: Bacteria
Description: partial 16S ribosomal RNA
Rfam family: Bacterial small subunit ribosomal RNA
Source: RNAcentral